Molecule: long non-coding RNA, 1195 nt
Filed under: Homo sapiens (human)
Lineage: Eukaryota; Metazoa; Chordata; Mammalia; Primates; Hominidae
Description: long non-coding RNA NONHSAT171153.1
Source: RNAcentral
GCAUCCCGACAUUGGUUUACAUUUCUCUUGACUGAGAAUGGUGCCACGUGUGGUCUGUAAGUAGAUCCUGCAGCUCCUGAAAGGCAAGCUGGUGGUGGGUCAUGACCUGAAGCACGACUUCCAGGCACUGAAAGAGGACAUGAGCGGCUACACAAUCUACGACACGUCCACUGACAGGCUGUUGUGGCGUGAGGCCAAGCUGGACCACUGCAGGCGUGUCUCCCUGCGGGUGCUGAGUGAGCGCCUCCUACACAAGAGCAUCCAGAACAGCCUGCUUGGACACAGCUCGGUGGAAGAUGCGAGGGCAACGAUGGAGCUCUAUCAAAUCUCCCAGAGAAUCCGAGCCCGCCGAGGGCUGCCCCGCCUGGCUGUGUCAGACUGAAGCCCCAUCCAGCCCGUUCCGCAGGGACUAGAGGCUUUCGGCUUUUUGGGACAGCAACUACCUUGCUUUUGGAAAAUACAUUUUUAAUAGUAAAGUGGCUCUAUAUUUUCUCUACGCCAUCACUGGGUCCUCUUCUUAUUCUUCUCUCCAAGCUGGGUUAACAGUAGACAGGACCCAUUUCUGUGUGAUGUUAGGAGGGAAUGAAGUCUUAUGCUGGGGAGGUGGGCAAGUAUCAAUUUCCUUAAUAUCUUGAAUCCUGUGGGUCCAAAAUGUGGCUUGGAAAUCUAAGUAGCAUGUGGCUUAAUUACUAAUCCCACCCUUUGCUGUUGCAUCCCAGCCCUAUUCCUGGUGCAUUUAUGCCCAGAGAGGUGGCAUUAUUUCCUGGGGUGGCAUUCAGCUCCUCUUGAGUUGGUGCCACAGCAUUUGUGGGCUUUGAAGCAAAGGUACAGGAAAUGUCAAGGGUGCCACCCCGGCAACCUUGAGCAAGUCACCCCUCCUAUUUGUAAAAUGAGGAAGGAAAGGUAACAAACUGUGGAGUCAGAGAGAAGUAGGUUGGAAUCCUCUUUGUCAUUUAGUAGCUGUUUGACCUAAGGUGGUUUACUGAACUUCUCAGUUUCUCCAUCUGUAAAAUGAGAAUUCUAGCAACUCGUAGGGUAUUUGUGAGAUGUUGCAGGCAAAGCCCCCAGCACCAUGCCUGUCCUAGCUUAAGCACCCACCAGGUGUCGAUAAGUAAUUGUUCUUCCCUGGACUGCCUGCACAUCUAGGGCACCCCAGGAAGAGUCACCGCACUCUGUUUCGGGGCUCGGCUCUCUG